RNAcentral lists this ribosomal RNA (468 nucleotides) under uncultured bacterium. RNAcentral describes it as "partial 16S ribosomal RNA". It matches the Rfam family "Bacterial small subunit ribosomal RNA", at positions 28 to 507 of the family's 1533-position model. The record is from RNAcentral.
GAUGAACGCUGGCGGCGUGCUUAACACAUGCAAGUCGAACGGUGAAAGCGGAGCUUGCUCUGCUGGAUCAGUGGCGAACGGGUGAGUAACACGUGAGCAAUCUGCCCCUGACUCUGGGAUAAGCGCUGGAAACGGCGUCUAAUACUGGAUACGAGCUGCGAAGGCAUCUUCAGCAGCUGGAAAGAAUUUCGGUCAGGGAUGAGCUCGCGGCCUAUCAGCUUGUUGGUGAGGUAAUGGCUCACCAAGGCGUCGACGGGUAGCCGGCCUGAGAGGGUGACCGGUCACACUGGGACUGAGACACGGCCCAGACUCCUACGGGAGGCAGCAGUGGGGAAUAUUGCACAAUGGGCGAAAGCCUGAUGCAGCAACGCCGCGUGAGGGACGACGGCCUUCGGGUUGUAAACCUCUUUUAGCAGGGAAGAAGCGAAAGUGACGGUACCUGCAGAAAAAGCGCCGGCUAACUACGUG